GGAAAGCUUAGUCCACGGUUUGUUGGCCCUUUCGAGGUAUUGGAGCGUAUCGGACCGGUUGCUUACAGGAUAGCUCUACCCCCGCGACUUGCUGGCAUCCACGAUGUGUUUCACAUCUCAGCAUUGAGAAGAUAUGUUUUCGAUCCCUCUCACGUGACCGACUUCACUCCACUUGAGAUCGGCGAGGAUCUGAGAUACGAGGAGCGACCGUUGCGGAUUCUUGCUCGGGAGACGAAAGAAUUGCGCAAUCGGGUCAUCCCGUAUGUGAAAGUGCAGUGGAGCAAUCACGAGGAGCGGGAGGCGACUUGGGAGCCUGAGACGGUGAUGAGAGAGUCCUACCCCGACCUGUUCGUUACUCCGUGUUGAGGGUGGCUUGGAUGCCACGUGCACCCUUUGCAUGCUUAUCAACAAUUAGGUGGGCAUUGCCUAAUCUUUCUACUUCUCUCUUUGUUCAACCGAAGCAAAGAGCUCGGAGAAGGUAGCCGCGAGCACGAGUUCGACGCCGACGACGCGCCGCGAAGCCGUUCGAGGGUGCGGUUGGGAUCGUAGCGUUACGAGGAAACUAGGCGAGGAUGUGUUUCCGUCGUUCUCGACGCCGUGCCAGAAUUGGAGUCGCUGUUAGAGAAUUUCAGUGUCGACCGUCGGUGUUUCGGCUCGUUUUCCGCGCAGGAGUGUCGAAACGCGACGAAAUUUGGCGUGCUAGAUUCGCGACUUCGAGACGAAGAUUCUGAGCCCAAGAUCGCAAUUUUUGGAGCAGGUUCCAACGUCGACAUUUCGUAUUCUGGCCCGUUCUCUGCGUAGGAGCGUCGGAAUUCAGCGAAACCUGGACCAUUGGAUUCGUGACUUUGAGACGAAGCUUCAGAACCCUUGUUUGCUGAAUUUGGAUAAGCAGGAGAACCGGGGACUUCGACGGACCAGCGAGGGAUCAUUUUGGAUCCGGGCCACUUUCUUCGCUGCCAGGAGUUGCUUGAGAGAGCCCCAGGUUUUGGCUGCUGCACUCUCCGAGACGGAUCGAGGCAAGAGCGUCGCGAGUUAGAGCCCUACCCGACGAGCAGAGCUAGAGGCACCCCUAUUGCAGGUAGACGUUUUGGUUUUCGGGUUCAUGUAUAUAGUAUACUUAACUCGCCAGUGCGAGUAGCUCUGUAUUUUGGAUUUUGGACUAUGUAUGUGAAACUCAGUUUGUUUA
This is a long non-coding RNA of Ananas comosus (pineapple), 1186 nucleotides long. RefSeq lists it as uncharacterized. NCBI's taxonomy places the organism in Eukaryota, Viridiplantae, Streptophyta, Magnoliopsida, Poales, Bromeliaceae. The transcript is spliced from 6 exons. The record is from RefSeq and is a predicted model, not a curated record.